This 495-nucleotide long non-coding RNA is filed under the name Mytilus galloprovincialis (Mediterranean mussel). Lineage: Eukaryota; Metazoa; Mollusca; Bivalvia; Mytilida; Mytilidae. The record is from RNAcentral.
UUAAAUGCACCUUACUCAAAUCAUUACGGCCACAAAAUCGAAACUGCCAUUCUGUAGCUAAACUGUUUAAUUAAAUAAUAGUUUUAAAGCCUUUCACCGGAUUAAGAAGUCGUGCAACACAACAAGGUCAAUGGAUUUCGAUUGCUGGAUUCCCUUUAGAGGCCCUAUAUAUUUGAUUCGAAUGCUCCCGAAGACUUCCGUUAGCUAUUUAGCAACGAUAAAGUCCGAGAAAAAACUGGACCCCUGCUGUUGUUUCACUGUUAUCGUGUGCCGAAGUAUCAAUCAGCGGGUGACCAGUUUAGUCCGAGAACUCGUGUGUACAAUGACGUUCCCGAUUCAACUACGGAAUCGUCAUUUGACAGUGACUGUGAAUCUGAAUUGGUCAGUGAAUUAACGGAUGAGAAAAUAAUUAUAAAAAGCAAAAUCGCUCCACGUCGGACAUCUCCCAACGACGAGCGUGAUUGACGGAGUUGCGUUUGAUUUAUAAACAAAAAU